This 410-nucleotide long non-coding RNA is filed under the name Heterocephalus glaber (naked mole-rat). RNAcentral describes it as "lncRNA (ENSHGLG00100048699.1)". The record is from RNAcentral. Lineage: Eukaryota; Metazoa; Chordata; Mammalia; Rodentia; Bathyergidae.
GUCCAUGGUCAGCUGGCUUCAAGACAGAAACCAUCAUGGUGGAAGGGUGCAGCUCUACUGGCAGCCUCGGAUUUUGAUAGCAAGGAAUGACUUCUGAGGCAGAAGGAAAAUCUACUCAAGUGCAAUCCUGGAGAUGAAGGAAGGAUUGAAGAACAAUAGAAAAGGUAAAUCUGCUAGAAAAUUUUAAAUUAUAAACUGGAUAUGGCGGCUCACAUAAAAUCCCAAAAUUCUGGGAGGCUGAGUCAGGAGGAUCAAAAGUUUGAGCCCAGACUUGGCAACUUAAGCUGGGGGAGACCCUUUCUCAAACAUAAAUAAAAGAACUGGGGAUGUAGCUCAAUGCAAAGUCCUUGGGUUCAAUCUCUAGUACUGCAGUAAAUAAAUAAAUAAAGAUGGCUUACGUUUGUGGGUUA